CUGUUCGAGCGUCAUUUGAACCCUCAAGCUCUGCUUGGUAUUGGGUGCUGGCCUACUCUGGCCCACCCGUAACUCGUUGGCGGUAGGCGCCGGCUUCUCAAGCGUAGCAAAAACCUCGCUUGGGUACCGGUGAUUACAGCCAGAAACACCACAACCAAAAGUUUGACCUCGGAUCAGGUAGGGAUACCCGCUGAACUUAA
Molecule: unclassified non-coding RNA, 200 nt
Filed under: soil metagenome
Description: partial contains internal transcribed spacer 2 and large subunit ribosomal RNA
Source: RNAcentral